RNAcentral lists this ribosomal RNA (2151 nucleotides) under Triticum aestivum (bread wheat). RNAcentral's name for it is "partial small subunit ribosomal RNA". Lineage: Eukaryota; Viridiplantae; Streptophyta; Magnoliopsida; Poales; Poaceae. The record is from RNAcentral.
AUGGCGUCAGUGCUACUGCUCGGUGUCGUUGCGGUCAUGCUGCACCUAGCGUCUAUAUCAGCGGCACAACCUGACCGCGGAUGCAGAACACAUUGCGGUGAUGUCGAGAUCCCCUACCCAUUCGGCAUCAGUAUUGGCUGUGCUAUGGGCCAAGGCUUUGAGAUCAACUGCAGCAGGUCCGUCGAUGGAAAUGACAAGCCGUUCCUUCUUGGACGGGAGAUUGUAAGCAUAUCGCUGUCCCGUGGUCAAUCCCGAGCUUUAUCAUGCAUCCCAUCAUAUUGCUACAAUCCUAGUACAAGAACAAUGGAUAGCAAAGUUUGGGAUUUUGAAUUAAGUUGGCCUUAUCGGUUCUCAAACGUGGACAACAAGUUCGUUACCAUCGGUUGCAAUACAAUUGGGUACAUCUACAAGACCAACGGCAUGACGAGGGAUGCAACAGGAUGCGUAUCGGUGUGUGGGAGCCCAGAAGACCUGACAAAUGGCUCGUGCGUUGGUGUUGGCUGCUGCCAAAAUGUUGUCCCCAAGGGCUUAAUGGGCUACAACGUCUAUUUCUAUGAUGUGGAUUAUGUCAAUAAAACAAAUAGUUGGUACUUCAACCCAUGCAGCUAUGCCGGCUUGGUGGAAACAGAGGCGUUUAUCUUCAGCUCCGAUUAUGUAACAACUACAAGGUUCAAUGAUACCUACCACGGCCGCCAGCCGGUGGUGCUUGACUGGGUGAUUGGAAAUGCAACAUGUGAGGCGGCACGCAGAAACAUGUCUUCCUAUGCGUGCCGUGGCGGGAACACCGUUUGUGUGGAUUCGUCCAAUGGCCCAGGGUAUCGUUGCAACUGCUCCGUCGGAUACCAAGGGAAUCCUUACAUCUCGGGCGGAUGCACAGGCAAGUUCCUCCUUGCUCAGCAUGGAUCUUUACGCAGUCCAAGCCCCUGCCCUGAGUCUGCAUCUUGCGAAAACAUAGCGGGAGGUUACCAUUGUUCAUGUCCUUUUGGCAGCAAUUUUUCAAAUGAAACAAACACUUGCACCAACCGGUUUAUAGGAAUUGUUAUUGGACUAAGCUCUGGUAUUGGAGUUCUGUUUCUUGCGUCAAUUUCAGUUUUGUUGGUUCAGAAGUGGAAGAGAAGUACUAAAAGGCGAGUUCGGAAAGCACACUUCAGGAAAAAUAACGGCCUUCUCUUGGAGCAAUUGAACUCAUCCGAUGAAAGUGCCGCACAUAGCAGCAAAUUAUUUUCCUUGGAUGAGUUGGAAAAGGCAACGGAUAAUUUUGACUCCACGCGCAUUCUAGGCCUCGGAGCGCAUGGUACCGUUUACAAGGGGAUUUUAUCAGAUCAACGUGUGGUGGCCAUAAAGAAGUCCAAAAUGGUCGAUCAAAUAGAGAUUGAUCAAUUCGUGAACGAGCUUGCCAUUUUGUCACAAAUCCAUCACCGAAACGUGGUAAAACUAUAUGGAUGCUGCCUUGAGUCGGAGGUGCCUUUGCUUGUGUACGAGUUCAUCUCUAGCGGCACGCUCUCUGAGCUUCUUCAUGGUGACCACCUGAGUGCUAGAAGCUUGUUAACCUGGGACGAUCGUAUCAGAAUCGCUAGCGAGGCGGCAAGCGCUAUUGCUUACCUCCAUUCCGCUGCUGCAACACCAAUUUUUCAUAGGGAUGUGAAAUCUGACAAUAUACUCUUGACGGAUAACUUCACCGCAAAGGUUGCAGACUUUGGUGCUUCAAGAUCCAUUUCCAUCGACGAAACUUGUGUGGUCACGGCAGUGCAGGGUACAUUUGGAUACUUGGAUCCUGAAUAUUACCAUACAUGCCAACUGACUGAGAAGAGCGAUGUUUACAGUUUUGGUGUGAUAAUCGCUGAGCUCCUUACUAGGAAGCAGCCAAUCUUCCUCAAUUCCAGGGGUGAAAAGCAGAACUUGUGCCACCACUUCCUUCAAAGGCUACAGGCUAACACUAUGAUGGAGAUCGUCGAUGUUCAAGUUCUCGAGGAAGGUAAUGACAGGCAGAUCAGUGAGAUGGCCGCUCUUGCGAGGGCAUGCUUGAGGCACAAAGGUGAGGAGAGGCCUACCAUGAAAGAGGUGGAGCAUAGGCUGCAGCUCCUGAGAGGCAAGAUGUCAAUGAAGAAAAACCAUGAGUUGGAGGUGGACACUGAAGCCGGGCCAUUGUAA